Malus domestica (apple) is the source of this 1399-nucleotide non-coding RNA. Lineage: Eukaryota; Viridiplantae; Streptophyta; Magnoliopsida; Rosales; Rosaceae. The record is from RefSeq and is a predicted model, not a curated record.
CAUUCUUAUCUUCCACCAGAAGGGAUGAAAACAGCCCCUCAUUUUCCAUUGACUUCUCUAUCUCUGUCUCGCAACUAGCCACACCACCGAUUCACUCAAAAUUCCAAAAACACUUUAUUUUUUUCCUUUUCUUUUUCUCCCUUCUCGCCCUUACCUCUCGCAGUUCACUCCACGACUCACCACUGUGGCCGGCACGAGUUCGUCAUUUCCGGUGACUACAAACGAACUCAAAACAAACCCUCUCUCACAUUCAAUCCAACUCUCAAAUCUAUUUCUAGAAAUUCUGUGCCGUUUUCGAUUAUUAAGUUGGUGCCUGAAGUCCAACGAGCUGCUUCCAGCCGAACGCUAGCGAUCGGACCUUGCUGUUACUACCAGUCGGUUAACCUUUGUCUCAGAAACCAAAAUCAUCCGUUGCAUGCCUCGAUUCGUUACGGUUUAAGGUGAAUUGGAGAGUAGCCUCCAAAAGCCUGAGGAUUCAGUUCGAGAAGCUCCAUAAGUAUGUUUAUUUUCUCAAAUAUUAAAUUGGAAAAAUCCAUUGUUUAAAGAAUUUACUUUAUGAAUUAUUCAAGAACAAGUCACAGAAGCAUUUACUUGCUAAUGAAAUUAGUUUCUAAUCUAAACCUCAAGGGGACUCAAACCUGGAGUUGUUCCCUUCUUGCUAUGAUCUUUAAAGCUAGGAAGUAGGACUCUUUGUAGCAUGAAUUGGAUAGUCGUAUACAAGUUUUUGAGAAAAUGGUAUUGAGAAACUGAUAAUUUGGGAGUGAGUAAUCAUAGGCCGAAAACAAACUGGAAUCGUUGUUUCUGACAACACUUCUUUAUUUCAAUUCCAGGUCUUUCCUAGCUUAGAAUAUUUCUUAAGAACCAAAAUGUAGUUUUCAUUUUUAGAAUAUUGUCAUUUAGUUUGCUGAAAAUAUUUAGGGACCUAAGUUUAUAUGCUGCUCCCACCACUGUGAUGCAGAGCUGAUCAAAUCUUAUGACUAAUUAAACUAUUGUUUAGUUGCAAAUAUAUCUUUUACUUUCAAUUGGCUUUUGCAGUACAUUGGGGACCAAGCUGAAUUUGAUAUCAUUAAGCUCAAGACAAGAAUUAGUCCAUUUCCAUCUCAAAAAGCAGUAGAUGACUAUUAAACCAAUGCAUCAGGUUUGUCGAAAACUUGCUCAAAGAGCAAACUGUCAGUGUGGUUUGAGCUGGUUGUAAAUAAUACUUUAUCGUUCUUGGUCAGAUUGUAAAUAACACUUUAAAAUCUCUCGUAGCGUAAACAUUUUAUAUGUAAAAUAAUAUUACCUUAAACGGUCUUAAAACCUGCAGCAUCGUGCGGGGGCUCAAUUGCUAGUGUCUUCUAUUACGUGGAAACGUUCAUGUGAGAAAUAUAGUGUAAACAAGUCUUGUGGAUACAAUGAA